Transfer RNA from Gaeumannomyces graminis, 72 nucleotides. It matches the Rfam family "tRNA". From Rfam's summary of the family: Transfer RNA (tRNA) molecules are approximately 80 nucleotides in length. NCBI's taxonomy places the organism in Eukaryota, Fungi, Ascomycota, Sordariomycetes, Magnaporthales, Magnaporthaceae. The record is from Rfam.
AAUUGUAUGGCGCAAUGGUAACGCACUUGUUUUUAUAACGGGAAGACCUGGGUUCGACUCCCGGUGCGACUU